This 837-nucleotide ribosomal RNA is filed under the name uncultured Sphingobacteriaceae bacterium. Its description in RNAcentral is "bacterial SSU rRNA". It matches the Rfam family "Bacterial small subunit ribosomal RNA", at positions 45 to 882 of the family's 1533-position model. Lineage: Bacteria; Pseudomonadati; Bacteroidota; Sphingobacteriia; Sphingobacteriales; Sphingobacteriaceae. The record is from RNAcentral.
GGCCUAACACAUGCAAGUCGGACGGGAUUUUGGAGCUUGCUCUAAAUGAGAGUGGCGCACGGGUGCGUAACACGUAUGUAACCUACCUUUGUCAGGGGGAUAGCCUCUCGAAAGAGAGAUUAAGACCGCAUAACAUUAUUGAAUGGCAUCAUUUAAUAAUCAAAUAUUUAUAGGACAAAGAUGGGCAUGCGGAACAUUAGCUAGUUGGUAAGGUAACGGCUUACCAAGGCUACGAUGUUUAGGGGAUCUGAGAGGAUGGCCCCCCACACUGGUACUGAGACACGGACCAGACUCCUACGGGAGGCAGCAGUAAGGAAUAUUGGUCAAUGGGCGGAAGCCUGAACCAGCCAUGCCGCGUGCAGGAAGACGGCCCUACGGGUUGUAAACUGCUUUUGUACGGGAAUAAACCUUGAUACGUGUAUCAAGCUGAAUGUACUGUAAGAAUAAGGAUCGGCUAACUCCGUGCCAGCAGCCGCGGUAAUACGGAGGAUCCAAGCGUUAUCCGGAUUUAUUGGGUUUAAAGGGUGCGUAGGUGGCCUGUUAAGUCAGGGGUGAAAGACGGUAGCUCAACUAUCGCAGUGCCCUUGAUACUGACGGGCUUGAAUGGACUAGAGGUAGGCGGAAUGUGACAAGUAGCGGUGAAAUGCAUAGAUAUGUCACAGAACACCGAUUGCGAAGGCAGCUUACUAUGGUCCGAUUGACACUGAGGCGCGAAAGCGUGGGGAUCAAACAGGAUUAGAUACCCUGGUAGUCCACGCCCUAAACGAUGAAUACUCGAUGUUGGCGAUAUACGGUCAGCGUCUAAGCGAAAGCGUUAAGUAUUCCACCUGGGGAGUA